UGGGGAAUUUUGGACAAUGGGGGAAACCCUGACCCAGCCAUCCCGCGUGUGCGAUGAAGGCCUUCGGGUUGUAAAGCACUUUUGUCAGGAAAGAAACGUCAUGGGUUAAUACCCCGUGAAACUGACGGUACCUGCAGAAUAAGCACCGGCUAACUACGUGCCAGCAGCCGCGGUAAUACGUAGGGUGCAAGCGUUAAUCGGAAUUACUGGGCGUAAAGCGUGCGCAGGCGGUUCGGAAAGAAAGAUGUGAAAUCCCAGAGCUCAACUUUGGAACUGCAUUUUUAACUACCGGGAUAGAGUGUGUCAGAGGGAGGGGGAAUUCCGCGUGUAGCAGUGAAAUGCGUAGAUAUGCGGAGGAACACCGAUGGAGAAGGCAGCCUCCUGGGAUAACACUGACGCUCAUGCACGAAAGCGUGGGGAGCAAACAGG
RNAcentral lists this ribosomal RNA (429 nucleotides) under Acidobacteriota bacterium. Its description in RNAcentral is "Acidobacteria bacterium partial 16S ribosomal RNA". It matches the Rfam family "Bacterial small subunit ribosomal RNA", at positions 355 to 776 of the family's 1533-position model. Lineage: Bacteria; Pseudomonadati; Acidobacteriota. The record is from RNAcentral.